AAAAUUCACUCAAAACACUCCAAAAUUCACCCGGGGCACCCCAAAAUUCAGCCGGGACACCCCAAAAUUCACCCGAAACACCCCAAAAUUCAAGCAGAACACCCCAAAAUUGACCCAGGAACACCCCAAAAUUGACCCACGAACACCCCAAAAUUCAUCCAGGGAACCUCAAAUUUCAGCCAGAAAUAUCCCAAAAUUCAGCUGGGACACCCCAAAAUUCACCCAGAAACACCCCAAAAUUCAAGCAGAACACCCCAAAAUUCACCCGGGACACCCCAAAAUUCACCCGGGACACACCAAAAUUCACUCAAAACACCCCAAAAUUCACCCGGGACACCCCAAAAUUCACCUUGGACACUUCAAAAUUCACUCAAAACACCUCAAAAUUCACCUGGGAACACCUCAAAAUUCACCCAGAACACCCCAAAAUUGACCCACGAACACCCCAAAAUUCACCCGGGACACCCCAAAAUUCACCCAGAACACCCCAAAAUUCACUCAAAGCACCCCAAAAUUCACCGGGGACACCCCAAAAUUCACUCAAAACACUCCAAAAUUCACCCGGGACACCCCAAAAUUCACCCGGGACACCCCAAAAUUUACCCAGGAACACUCCAAAAUUUACCCAGGAAAACCCCAAAAUUCAUUCAGGGAACUUCAAAUUUCAGAAAUAUCCCAAAAUUCGCCUGAAACACCCCAAAAUUCACUCAAAACACCCCAAAAUUCACCCGGGACACCCCAAAGUUCACCCAGAACACCCCAAAAUUCAAGCAGAACACCCCAAAAUUCAAGCAGAACACCCCAAAAUUCACCCGAAACACCCCAAAAUCACCUGAAACACCCCAAAAUUCACUCGAAACACCCCAAAAUUCACCCAGGACACCCCAAAAUUCACCCUCCGAGUCCCUCGCCUGGAGCUGGAACCAUCCCAGGAUCCCAUCCACCACAGGAGCACGCGGAGCUUUCUUAUAAAUUUAUUACAUAAUAAUAAUAAUAAUAAUAAUUAAUAAUAAUAAUUAAUAAUAAUAAUAAUAAUAAUAUAAUAUAAGAAACAUAGAUCU
This 1061-nucleotide long non-coding RNA is filed under the name Cyanistes caeruleus (blue tit). Its description in RNAcentral is "lncRNA (ENSCCEG00000001308.1)". The record is from RNAcentral. Lineage: Eukaryota; Metazoa; Chordata; Aves; Passeriformes; Paridae.